Molecule: small RNA, 818 nt
Filed under: Pongo abelii (Sumatran orangutan)
Lineage: Eukaryota; Metazoa; Chordata; Mammalia; Primates; Hominidae
Description: retained intron
Source: RNAcentral
UGGGCUCACUCCUCUGGGUAAGUGGGAGCCCCCAACUAUCAUCCUCAUUGUAUAGAAAACCAACUCUAUGAUGCUAUCUGCCCCUCUUCCCCUUCUCUCCUGAAAGAGGGCUGGGGUAGAGGUGGGAGGACUGGUUAUGGCCCUGGCUGGGUCUGUAUUAGUAAUGGGAGGAGUAUUGGUACUCUGUGUAGAAAGAAAUGGGGAGGGGGAAAUGGGGUGCCCUCAGCAUCUCCCUAAGUCCCAGCCUUUAAGUCCUCCUGUUGCAGUUCGUCGCCUGCAGCUUCGAGAGGAAUUGGAUCGAUCUUCUUGCGGAAACGUCCUCUUCAAUGGUUACCUGCCCCCACCAGUGUUCCCAGUGAAGCGGCGGAACCGGCACAGCCUCGUGGGGCCUCAGCAGCUAGGAGGACGGCCAGCCCCUGUCCGACGGAGCAACACGAUGCCCCCCAACCUUGGCAAUGCAGGGCUGCUGGGCCGAAUGCUGGAUGAGAAAACCCCUCCCUCACCCUCAGGUACGUUUCUAUCUCGUGGAAGGUUGGGGCAGCUGUGGGGUCCCUGUGACCCUCUUCUGAUCCCUCCUCUUCCCGUCAAGGACAACCUGAGGAGCCGGGGAUGGUGCGCCUGGUGUGUGGACACCAUAACUGGAUCGCUGUGGCCUAUACCCAGUUUCUAGUCUGUUACAGGUUGAAGGAAGCCUCUGGCUGGCAGCUGGUGUUUUCCAGCCCCCGCCUGGACUGGCCCAUCGAACGACUGGCGCUCACAGCCCGGGUGCAUGGUGGGGCUUUGGGUGAACAUGACAAGAUGGUGGCUGCGGCCACCGG